CCCCUCCGGACGGCAGAAAUUUCCUCUGUGGGGGGAGUAUGGAUCUUUUCUGGAACGACCCAAUCUCACAUGUGAAAAUUAUCGCUUUUCAAUAAUCGCUUUUCUGCCAAAAAUAUCGCUUUUCAAAGACUGUCCUUUAUAUAAUAAACAGAAAAAUAAACAUAAAUACUUGGAAAUACCAGAUUUAAUAUUGUACAGUAUUCAGUGGCAAGCUAGUCAUGGCAACUCGUCAUGCUAUGCCCUCUGUGCUAUGCCUAUGCUGAUAAUCUUGCAUCUAUUUGAAUGAUACAAAUCAUUAAUAAUUUGCAUAGCAUGACUUGUUGCUAUGGCUAGCUUCACCAAUGACAGCUGAUUAUAAUUAUACAUAACAAAAGCAAGAAGUUAUAAGCAUUGAAGGUAUUCAUAUAAAACCACAGGUGGCCAG
Molecule: non-coding RNA, 424 nt
Organism: Paramuricea clavata
Lineage: Eukaryota; Metazoa; Cnidaria; Anthozoa; Malacalcyonacea; Plexauridae
Source: the annotation of a GenBank genome assembly